GCUGCGCUGAACUGCGGUGCGCUGCCCGCGGUGGUUAGCGAGCUGAAGAGAGCAGCGGUACGGGCUGUCCUUCCUUUCGAGGCUGACCCUUCAAGCAAAGGAGGAGGCAGAACUUCUGGCGGGCGGCGGCCCCGAGCCCCAGGCAGAGGCAAUCUGUUGGCCCUCUUCUUGCACCUGGGAAAGCCAUCCCUGCAUCCCAGACAGGAGAGUGUCUGGAUAAUCUGUUUAAGGAGAGAACAGAACAAGUUUUGGAGGAAUGCUGAAGCCCUCUGGACUACUCCAAAGACUUCACAGAGAGGACUAGUCAUAACAGCCAGUACUUUCCAAGCUUGUAAGGGAAGCUGGGGCGCCAGCACUUUGCUUCAUGAUCUGAGGUGUAAUGUCUCCAGCUGCUAUAGUAUGAUCCCACCCAUUGUGACUAGCUUGAUACCUGUGCAAGGUGGCAGACAAGAAGAUCAUCAGUGAAGGAAUGUUAAUGCCUGUAAUAACUACCUCUUGAAAAUGUUUUACUCUUCAAAAGAACAAGGCUG
RNAcentral lists this long non-coding RNA (530 nucleotides) under Numida meleagris (helmeted guineafowl). RNAcentral describes it as "lncRNA (ENSNMEG00000020663.1)". Lineage: Eukaryota; Metazoa; Chordata; Aves; Galliformes; Numididae. The record is from RNAcentral.